AACGCACAUUGCGCCCACCAGUAUUCUGGUGGGCAUGCCUGUUCGAGCGUCGUCUCAACCCUCGGAGCCCCCGUGGCACCGGCGUUGGGGAUCGACCGCCGCCCUGGCGGUCGGCCCCGAAAUCGAGUGGCGGCCUCGCCGUAGCCUCCUCUGCGUAGUAGCACACACCUCGCACUGGACGGCCGGCGCGGCCACGCCGUGAAACCCCCAACUUCUCAAGGUUGACCUCGAAUCAGGUAGGACUACCCGCUGAACUUAA
This 259-nucleotide unclassified non-coding RNA is filed under the name uncultured fungus. RNAcentral's name for it is "partial contains 5.8S ribosomal RNA, internal transcribed spacer 2, and large subunit ribosomal RNA". The stretch from base 1 to 52 matches the Rfam family "5.8S ribosomal RNA", at positions 103 to 154 of the family's 154-position model. Lineage: Eukaryota; Fungi. The record is from RNAcentral.